Molecule: long non-coding RNA, 1038 nt
Organism: Haliotis rufescens (red abalone)
Lineage: Eukaryota; Metazoa; Mollusca; Gastropoda; Lepetellida; Haliotidae
Exons: 5
Source: RefSeq, a predicted model, not a curated record
AAUCCUAGGGAAUCAUUCUGUCUUCUGUGUGGAUCACGCUAGUCGAGAAAACAGACAGAUACAUACGAUACCAAAGAUAAAUGGGUGCUAAACCAGGGAAGGAGCUGAACUUCGAUGUGAAAGUUAAUGGUUCACACAAACAGGGAGGAACGCACAUCGACAACCAAGGCAAUAUUGGUAACAUUACCACUGGUGACAACAACUCCGGCAAUAAUACUGCCUCAGUCGGGGGGCAGCCUGGGAAGAGUCCAAAGCAAUAGACAGUUUUUGUAGAUUCUGGCUCCAACUUGGUGUUAAGGUCAAGCACAGUCACGCCCUCAAAGACGAUAAUGGCAUCAAGUGCAAGCGUACAUAGAGUCUACAUAUGGUUGCCAAGAUGGAAUUUUCAGGUAGGUGGCCAUGUGUCUCUGCUUCUCAACGAUGGGACAUACAUAAGCUGGUGGCCACAUGAUGGGGUAGACUUUAAAACAGAUAUGUUUAAUAGUCCGCAUGGUGUCAAGGCAUCACAUGGUACAUGUGUAGAAAAUGACAUAGAAUCCAUGAAGUACAGUUAUCAUUAUGUAUUUGAUAUUCCCCCGGAACGGUUGGAUCUGCAGAAAAUGAAAGAUUUCUGGGAAUCUGUCCUUACAACUCGUAACUUUGACCCAAAGAAGGAGAACUGCUGCUGGGUUGUGUACAACGUACUACUUGCUGGAGGCGCUCCUCCAGCAUCAGUGUGGUCACCAUGGCGACCAGGGAUGAUACGACGAUACAUGGUCAACUUUGUGAGUGGCGGUUCUGCGCUCUUUCGACUUAUUGGGAACUUCCUUCCUUUCUAAGGCGAUGUUAAGUUCAUUAUUGAGAUAGAUUCUUCUGUGUUGACUCUGACUCUUCUUAAUAUGAAAACCUGCUCUGGAUCUGUGUCGAGUUACGUUGUUUUUUAGUUAACAAACAUGAAGUAAUGAUGUAUUGUAGCAUGUCUAAAAGUAUGUUACCUAGUAUGGUGACCUACCUUUGGUUAUUGGUGAUCUAUAGCCCAUUUUUUAUUGUGUACUGUUC